RNAcentral lists this ribosomal RNA (1372 nucleotides) under uncultured bacterium. RNAcentral describes it as "bacterial SSU rRNA". It matches the Rfam family "Bacterial small subunit ribosomal RNA", at positions 28 to 1381 of the family's 1533-position model. The record is from RNAcentral.
GAUGAACGCUGGCGGCGUGCCUAAUACAUGCAAGUCGAGCGAACGGACGAGAAGCUUGCUUCUCUGAUGUUAGCGGCGGACGGGUGAGUAACACGUGGAUAACCUACCUAUAAGACUGGGAUAACUUCGGGAAACCGGAGCUAAUACCGGAUAAUAUUUUGAACCGCAUGGUUCAAAAGUGAAAGACGGUCUUGCUGUCACUUAUAGAUGGAUCCGCGCUGCAUUAGCUAGUUGGUAAGGUAACGGCUUACCAAGGCAACGAUGCAUAGCCGACCUGAGAGGGUGAUCGGCCACACUGGAACUGAGACACGGUCCAGACUCCUACGGGAGGCAGCAGUAGGGAAUCUUCCGCAAUGGGCGAAAGCCUGACGGAGCAACGCCGCGUGAGUGAUGAAGGUCUUCGGAUCGUAAAACUCUGUUAUUAGGGAAGAACAUAUGUGUAAGUAACUGUGCACAUCUUGACGGUACCUAAUCAGAAAGCCACGGCUAACUACGUGCCAGCAGCCGCGGUAAUACGUAGGUGGCAAGCGUUAUCCGGAAUUAUUGGGCGUAAAGCGCGCGUAGGCGGUUUUUUAAGUCUGAUGUGAAAGCCCACGGCUCAACCGUGGAGGGUCAUUGGAAACUGGAAAACUUGAGUGCAGAAGAGGAAAGUGGAAUUCCAUGUGUAGCGGUGAAAUGCGCAGAGAUAUGGAGGAACACCAGUGGCGAAGGCGACUUUCUGGUCUGUAACUGACGCUGAUGUGCGAAAGCGUGGGGAUCAAACAGGAUUAGAUACCCUGGUAGUCCACGCCGUAAACGAUGAGUGCUAAGUGUUAGGGGGUUUCCGCCCCUUAGUGCUGCAGCUAACGCAUUAAGCACUCCGCCUGGGGAGUACGACCGCAAGGUUGAAACUCAAAGGAAUUGACGGGGACCCGCACAAGCGGUGGAGCAUGUGGCUUAAUUCGAAGCAACGCGAAGAACCUUACCAAAUCUUGACAUCCUUUGACAACUCUAGAGAUAGAGCUUUCCCCUUCGGGGGACAAAGUGACAGGUGGUGCAUGGUUGUCGUCAGCUCGUGUCGUGAGAUGUUGGGUUAAGUCCCGCAACGAGCGCAACCCUUAAGCUUAGUUGCCAUCAUUAAGUUGGGCACUCUAGGUCGACUGCCGGUGACAAACCGGAGGAAGGUGGGGAUGACGUCAAAUCAUCAUGCCCCUUAUGAUUUGGGCUACACACGUGCUACAAUGGACAAUACAAAGGGCAGCGAAACCGUGAGGUCAAGCAAAUCCCAUAAAGUUGUUCUCAGUUCGGAUUGUAGUCUGCAACUCGACUACAUGAAGCUGGAAUCGCUAGUAAUCGUAGAUCAGCAUGCUACGGUGAAUACGUUCCCGGGUCU